Small nucleolar RNA from Octodon degus (degu), 133 nucleotides. Lineage: Eukaryota; Metazoa; Chordata; Mammalia; Rodentia; Octodontidae. The record is from Ensembl.
GGCACUUGUGUAUCUGUUUUACUCUAACAUGUGGACUAAGACUUAAGGAUAGAUGCGAAAAAAAAAAAAAUCCUGUUUGUAAUCUAGAGCCCAUUGUUCAGUAUAAGCUUUGAUACACACAGGGAGGGAUAUU